GACGAACGCUGGCGGCGUGCCUAAUACAUGCAAGUUGAGCGCUGAAGGUUGGUACUUGUACCAACUGGAUGAGCAGCGAACGGGUGAGUAACGCGUGGGGAAUCUGCCUUUGAGCGGGGGACAACAUUUGGAAACGAAUGCUAAUACCGCAUAAAAACUUUAAACACAAGUUUUAAGUUUGAAAGAUGCAAUUGCAUCACUCAAAGAUGAUCCCGCGUUGUAUUAGCUAGUUGGUGAGGUAAAGGCUCACCAAGGCGAUGAUACAUAGCCGACCCGAGAGGGUGAUCGGCCACAUUGGGACUGAGACACGGCCCAAACUCCUACGGGAGGCAGCAGUAGGGAAUCUUCGGCAAUGGACGAAAGUCUGACCGAGCAACGCCGCGGGAGUGAAGAAGGUUUUCGGAUCGUAAAACUCUGUUGGUAGAGAAGAACGUUGGUGAGAGUGGAAAGCUCAUCAAGUGGCGGUAACUACCCAGAAAGGGACGGCUAACUACGUG
This 497-nucleotide ribosomal RNA is filed under the name uncultured bacterium. RNAcentral describes it as "partial 16S ribosomal RNA". It matches the Rfam family "Bacterial small subunit ribosomal RNA", at positions 28 to 507 of the family's 1533-position model. The record is from RNAcentral.